UACGGAGGAUCCAAGCGUUAUCCGGAUUUAUUGGGUUUAAAGGGUGCGUAGGCGGCCUAGUUAAGUCAGAGGUGAAAGACGGUAGCUCAACUAUCGCAGUGCCCUUUGAUACUGAUGGGCUUGAAUGAACUAGAGGUAGGCGGAAUGAGACAAGUAGCGGUGAAAUGCAUAGAUAUGAUCUCAGAACACCGAUUGCGAAGGCAGCUUACUAUGGUUUAUUGACGCUGAGGCACGAAAGCGUGGGGAUCAAACAGG
This 255-nucleotide ribosomal RNA is filed under the name uncultured bacterium. RNAcentral describes it as "partial 16S ribosomal RNA". It matches the Rfam family "Bacterial small subunit ribosomal RNA", at positions 524 to 776 of the family's 1533-position model. The record is from RNAcentral.